RNAcentral lists this small RNA (108 nucleotides) under Soonwooa buanensis. Its description in RNAcentral is "Flavo-1 RNA". It matches the Rfam family "Flavo-1 RNA". The record is from Rfam by way of RNAcentral. Lineage: Bacteria; Pseudomonadati; Bacteroidota; Flavobacteriia; Flavobacteriales; Weeksellaceae.
CUGCAAUAGGGAUAGAAGCGGCAUCCUUUGGCUUGGCGCGAGGCGGCGGAGCGCAGCGGAGCCGUCCGAGCAGCCAAGUUAAAGAUAGAGCGAAUAGCCCGACCUUGC